AAUCCCUUAUCGAGGAUCAAUUGGAGGGCAAGUCUGGUGCCAGCAGCCGCGGUAAUUCCAGCUCCAAUAGCGUAUAUUAAAGUUGUUGCAGUUAAAAAGCUCGUAGUUGGAUUUGUGGUUUACGCAAGGCUUCCGUCCCUCUUGGGUUUCGGUGUUGCCUGGCGUUGCCAUCCUUGGGUGGAAUCUGUGUGGCAUUAGGUUGUCGUGCAGGGGAUGCCCAUCGUUUACUGUGAAAAAAUUAGAGUGUUCAAAGCAGGCUUAUGCCGUUGAAUAUGUUAGCAUGGAAUAAUAAUAUAGGACCUUGGUACUAUUUUGUUGGUUUGCGCACCGAGGUAAUGAUUAACAGGGUCAACUGGGGAUAUUCGUAUUCCGCUGUCAGAGGUGAAAUUCUUGGAUUUUUGGAAGACGAACUACUGCGAAAGCAUUUAUCAAGGAUGUUUUCAUUAAUCAAGAACGAAAGUUAGGGGAUCGAAGAUGAUUAGAUACCAUCGUAGUCUUAACCAUAAACUAUGCCGACAAGGGAUUGGUGGAGUAUCGUUACGUCUCCAUCAGCACCUUAUGAGAAAUCAAAAGUCUUUGGGUUCCGGGGGGAGUAUGGUCGCAAGGCUGAAACUUAAAGAAAUUGUCGGAAGGGCACCACCAGGAGUGGAGCCUGCGGCUUAAUUUGACCCAACACGGGAAAACUUACCAGGUCCAGACAUAGUGAGGAUUGACAGAUUGAGAGCUCUUUCUUGAUUCUAUGGGUGGUGGUGCAUGGCCGUUCUUAGUUGGUGGAGUGAUUUGUCUGGUUAAUUCCGUUAACGAACGAGACCCCUGCCUGCUAAAUAGCCCAGUGAGUGAUUUUUCACUGACUGUUUGCUUCUUAGAGGGACGUGCAUUCUAUUAGAUGCAGGAAGAUAGGGGCAAUAACAGGUCUGUGAUGCCCUUAGAUGUCCUGGGCCGCACGCGCGCUACACUGAUGAAUUCAACGAGUUUUUUCCUUGGCCGAGAGGCCUGGGCAAUCUUUUGAACGUUCAUCGUGAUAGGGAUAGAUUAUUGCAAUUAUUAAUCUUGAACGAGGAAUUCCUAGUAAACGCAGAUCAUCAAUCUGCAUUGAUUACGUCCCUGCCCUUCGUACACACCGCCCGUCGCACCUACCGAUUGAGUGGUCCGGUGAAGCCUCGGGAUUGUGGUCAGUUUGCUUUAUUGCGAGUUGAUUGCGAGAACUUGUCUAAACCUUAUCAUUUAGAGGAAGGUGAAGUC
This 1242-nucleotide ribosomal RNA is filed under the name metagenome. RNAcentral describes it as "SSU rRNA". It matches the Rfam family "Eukaryotic small subunit ribosomal RNA", at positions 528 to 1790 of the family's 1831-position model. The record is from RNAcentral.